Molecule: long non-coding RNA, 4347 nt
Filed under: Octopus sinensis (East Asian common octopus)
Lineage: Eukaryota; Metazoa; Mollusca; Cephalopoda; Octopoda; Octopodidae
Description: uncharacterized LOC118766758
Source: RNAcentral
AAACUUUUUAACCACACAGCCAAGUCUGCAUUAUAUAUGAUGGACUCUCCUGUAAAAGAUGAUAUCUGAGCAUUCAGCUUUUGCCAAACGAUCUGCUCAAAUGAUUUGUUUAUAGUGACCAAAUGUAUGUACUGUACAUUAGCUCCUUGCUCUGUCUCCAUCAAAUCGACAUUGCAUGAACAGGUGCACUGUGUACCACAUGUCAGAUGUUGAAGUGAUCGUAGAGCGACAUGAGACGAAUUGUUUUGAUAAAGGACACAACACACCACCCGGUCUAGGGAUUGAAACCACGAUCUUGCAAUCAGGAGUGCAACACCCUAACCACUAGGCCAUGCAUUCUCAAGCAUUACACACAUACAUGUACACACACUUUUGAAUGUUGAUCCUGAUGAGACAUGAACAUGUAAUCCUCAGCUCCAGAGGCUGAUGCCUUAUUUAUAUAUAUAUAUAUGUGAUAUAUAUAAGGAUUACUGAUUGGUGGUGGGGAUGGGGAUAUUCUGGUAGAAAUUGUAAAACACCCAGAUAUGGUACUUCAUGAUCAUGAAAGUGAUACGGUAAAGUAUAUAGAAAUCCCUUUUUGACUUGGCAAAAUGGAAAUGCUUAUAAGAGAGGUGCUAUGGUCACUUGAGUUAUUUCAGUCUAUGUCUAUUGCUGACAUGGCACAAUGGAAAUUAGCAAGGAGUCUUAUGAGGUUUGAACUCAGAAAGAGAGAGAGAGAGAGAUGAUACUUGAGACUAGUGUUUUGAAACUGUAGAUAAAAGUUGUAUGCUGUGAGGAAGGAAUAUCUACUCCUUCAAUAGAACUCUUCAUUGGAGAGAGAGAGAGAUGAAGUAUUUGCUAGUAUUGUGGGAUAAAUAGAUUGGAAGUAGAAAGGUUAAAAGAACAAUAGUAUAACAGCGAAGAAUAGAGUUGGAGGUAAAGAAGGAAAGAGAGAGAAAUAAGGAGAAGCAUGUGUUCGUCGAGUGGAUAAAGAUAAAUGAAAGUGAAGGCAAAAAAAGAAUGUCAGUUGAUUUGACAAACAUUGAAAGAGGAAGUGAGAAUAUAAGGAAACACUAAUCAAACACAGACAUGCACCACCACCCCACACACAUACAUGUCUGCAUGUGUGUGCACAUGCACAAGCAUUACAUAUAGUAUGUGUACAUGUAUAUUGGUACACGUUUUGUGUGUAUGCAUGUAUAUAUUUAAGUAAGUUGUAUGUGUGUAUAUAUAUAUGUAUGUACGUAGUGUGAUUGACAGCACAUAUAUACCAUGUGUGUAACAACAGAAUUAGCAACAGAUGCCCAAUAAACAUAAAAUCAACAAAUAUUGAGUGCACUUUUGUUUUUGUUUAUAAACAUAAACCUCUGUGUGUUAAGGGAAUGUAUGUUUGAUAAAAGUAUACGUUAACAGGUGUCAUCAUUACAGUGUAACAUGUCACAGAUGAUUUCUUUAGGAUAAAUAGCUUCUCAGCUAAAACCUUGCAAGCCAAAGAACUGUAAUAGCCAGUGUCAGCAAAAGAUAUACAUUGUAAUUCAUGAGUUGGGAAACGAAGAGAGGAAUCUGACAUUUUUGGACUGACCAUUUGAGAGAGAAGGAGAGAAAAGCUGAAGUCAAGUAUCAAAUGUCAGAUUGCUUUUUUCCCCAUAACAUACAAACUUUUCUGUAUAUGUGUGUGUUACAUAUAUAUCCUUAUCAUCAUCAUCAUCAUUGUCAUCUUAGCAUGCACCUUUCCAUGUUUACCUGGGUAGAUGGAGUUUAUUGAGGCAGAUUUUCUGCAGCUAGAUGAACUUCCUGUUGCCAACCCUUGUUUCCAAAGAAGGUGAUAUUUCUUGAUAAGCAGAAAUGUUUUUGCAGAAUAUUGGAAAUGAAUGAUACUGCUUGUAUAACAGUGAUACUUAUUUACAGCUGUCAAGCUAUAUCAAGAAAAGGAUAUAUAUAAACUCACACAUGCAUGUGUAUGUGUGUGUAUAUAAAUAUACACAAUCAUUUAAUGUCUUCCUUCCAUGCUGGCAUAGGCUGGACGGUUUGACAGAUAGUUUGAGUGUGGCUGCUGCCAGUACCACCUCACUGGCACAUAAAAGCACCCACUACACUCUUGGAGUGGUUGGCACUAGGAAGGACAUGAAGCAGUAGAAAGUCUGCCAGGUCAGAUUGAAACCUGGUACAGCCAUCUGGUUCGCCAGUCCUCAGUCAAAUCAUCCAACUCAUGCUAGCAUGGAAAGCGGACGUCAGACAAUGAUGAUAGUUAGUGAAGAUAUUACAUACAUGAUCGACAGAUCAUGGAUUCAAUUCCUGGACUGUGCAGUGUGUUGUGUUUUUGAACAAAAUAUUUCAUUUUACAUUGCUCCUCAGGUGGGAGAGUAACAGAAUUGUUGGCCCAUCUGCAGAGAUGCCUUAUGAUAUAUCUUCUGGUUCUCUACAUUCUGAAUUCAAAUCUCAGCUGCCUGGAGAAGGCAACAGGAAACCACUCCAGUGUUCAUCCCAAAUCUAGUCAUGGAAGCUGAAAUUCCAGUCAUUUACUUAAUGGUGGCAGGAGAAGGCAUGGGCCCUCCCUAGUCAGAGAGUACGGGAGAAGGUUCGCAUACACAGGACCUGCCCAAGGGCAGACCACCACUCGACUAUAUAUGUAUUAUUUCAUUUUAUUUUGUUCCUUUGCAAGGGACAUCAAUUUCAGCUUAGUUCUGAAUCUGUUUUAUUAUUAAUGUGUAAUCUCACAACUCGGUCAUCUUACAUUGCCCUGUUUCCUCUCAGCUCAACAAUAACUAUCAUACUUGUUACUAUUAUUAGUAUUAGUAGUAGUAGUAGUAAAUGUAUUUUCGUUGUUAAUUUUACAGUAGUUUUCAUUAAGCUUUUUUAACAGCAUUAAAGAACACAGCAAUAAAUAUGUCUACUAUUUUAUCCCCUUCUGAUCAUCCACCACCACUGCCACCUCUAUGGAGGAUGUACAUGUUUUAUUCCCCCUGGCAAUUCAAAACCACCCCUUCCUCCCAUGUAUAUGUGUACAUGUAUUUGUAUGUCUGUGCAUGAGUGUGUGCAUAUAUAUAUGUAUGUAUGUAUACACACAUAUACAUAUGUAGGUGGCGUGGCUAUAUGGGUAUACAUGUGUAAUCUAUAUGUUUGGUAUGUGUAUAUGUGAGAGUGCAUAUAUAUAUAUAUACGUAUGUAUAUUCAUGAAGCAUUGGUGGGUUAUGUAUGUGCACAUUUAGAUUCACCAUUGCUUAAGGCCACUAAGUGCCUAAUUAAAAUAUCCCCACUUCUUCAACCCUUGCUGAUCCCCUCACCUCUGCAUGCAGUUCCUUGUACCUGAAGAUUUUAUAGGGAUGAGGAAAGUGUAAUUUGUUGAAUAACAAAUACUUGUUUCACUGGACAUGUGCAAAUAUGCUUUGCAUGUUGACAUUCUUAAGAUUUUUUCCAGAUGCCAAAAACAAUCCCCAAUUACUGCCCCACUCUUCCAAAAUCCACUUCCUUAGAGCCAUCAUGACCAAUGCCAGCAGAAUAAACAGUAAGUUUGAUGAGAUUGUUGAAAUGCGAGAGCAGAAGCAUGUAGAUGUGUGCUGUUUGCAUGAUGGAGAGGAGCUUCAGCUAGAUUCCUCACAGCAAAGACACAAAUUCUUUUGCAUAGGUACCAGUGAGUCUUCAAGUUGUGUAGGUAUACUUUUGGCAGAAAAAUGGAAAAUAAAGUGAGGAAGCUAGUCAGGCUUUGUGAUAGGAUUGUUAAACUAAGUCUAAUAUUAGGUAAUACAGCAGUAGAUUUAUCUUAUCAUAUACUCCACAUGCAGGUUUGGCAGAUGAAAAAUCUGAUGCAAACAGAAGCCAGAUUCACUACAUUUGCAUCAGAAAAUGAGAUGUCCUCCUUGGGUAAGGAAUGUACAAUCCAACAUAGAUUAGUUGUUAGUAUCUUCAGACUUGGAGCUAGAAGAACUCAAGAUGCAAAUUGUGAAAGUUUAAAAAGGUCUAUUGAACACUCAGAGAUUUAGAGAUAUCAUAACUGAACAUUCAACAAGGAGGAAGCGACAGAAACAUAAAACAAAGGACAACUGGAAGUUCUUAUAAGCCAACCUAAUGAAGGUGACCGACCAAUUCUGAGGUUGGUGCGAAGUUCCAGCUAGAUCAAAGGUGAUGUGGUGGUGAAACAGAAGUAGACACAACCUUAACUUGGAAAGAUUAGAGAAAUGGGAGGAGCGGAGAAUUAUACCAGAAGAGAAGCUAGGUGGAAGGGAAGCAGAUGCCUAUGAUCUGCAGUAUGAGAACAACAGGCAUCAGGUGUUCAAGAUUCCAAGAUAGUGAACGAGAGAAAAUAGAUGCUAUAGGAGAAAAGUAUGUAUGGAUAAUGGAACACUUGCACUUAGGUUUUCUGAAAAAGGG